This is a ribosomal RNA of Myotis lucifugus (little brown bat), 119 nucleotides long. The record is from Ensembl. NCBI's taxonomy places the organism in Eukaryota, Metazoa, Chordata, Mammalia, Chiroptera, Vespertilionidae.
AUCUUCAGCCAUAUCACUCUGAAUGCACUGGAUCUCCUCUGAUCUGAGAAGCUAAGCAGGUACAGGCCUGGUUAGUACUUGAAUGGGAGAUCACCUGGGAAUACUUGGUGCUAUAGGCU